GAGUUUGAUCCUGGAUCAGGGUGAACGCUGCCGGGGCGCUUAAUGCAUGCAGGGCGAGCGUGAUCGUGGCUUCGGCCACAAUGAUAAAGCGGGAGACGGCUGAGUAACGCGUGAGUAAUCUGCCCUCCGGUGGACUAUAACCUCGGGAAACUGAGGAUAAUCCCGCAUACUGACCUGCAUCCCAUGGGAUGCAGAUGAAAGGCUUCGGUCGCCGGAGGAGGAGCUCGCGUCCUAUCAGGUUGUUGUUGGGGUAAUGGCCCACCAAGCCGAUGACGGGUAGCUGGUCUGAGAGGAUGACCAGCCAGAGGGGGACUGAGAACGGCCCCCACUCCUACGGGAGGCAGCAGCAGGGAAUCUUGGGCAAUGGGCGAAAGCCUGACCCAGCGACGUCGCGUGGGGGACGAAGGCCUUCGGGUUGUAAACCCCUUUUCCGAGGGAAGAGAAAGGGCGGUACCUCGGGAAUAAGCCCCGGCUAACUACGUGCCAGCAGCCGCGGUAAUACGUAGGGGGCAAGCGUUACCCGGAAUCACUGGGCGUAAAGUGCGCGUAGGCGGUUGGAUAAGUCUCUUGUGAAAGCUCCCGGCUCAACUGGGAGAGGUCAAGGGAUACUAUUCGACUUGAGGACAGCAGAGGUAAGCAGAAUUCCCGGUGUAGCGGUGGAAUGCGUAGAUAUCGGGAGGAACACCAGUGGCGAAAGCGGCUUACUGGGCUGUAUCUGACGCUGAGGCGCGAGAGCGUGGGGAGCAAACUGGAUUAGAUACCCUGGUAGUC
This 771-nucleotide ribosomal RNA is filed under the name uncultured bacterium. RNAcentral's name for it is "bacterial SSU rRNA". It matches the Rfam family "Bacterial small subunit ribosomal RNA", at positions 9 to 795 of the family's 1533-position model. The record is from RNAcentral.